AGGUAAAUAUAUUAAAAAUGUGCUCAUGUUAUAAAACAUAUAUGUAUAUAUAAAGCAAAAAAAAGUAUAUAUAAAAAAUAGGAAAGUAAAAUAAAAAAUGUAGGUAUAAUAAUAAUAUACAAUAUUAUAGUAAUAAAUAAAAUAAAACAAAAUAAUAAUUUGGCGUAAUUGUGAUAAAAACUAAAAAAUGGGUUUAAUUGAAUUUAAAACGAAAAAAAUGGGGGCAAAUUCAAAAAUAAUAAAAAAGGAUCAAUUCGAACACGCUAGCGCAAAUGGGGGACUAAAAAGGAGAUAAUUCCUUCCUUUCCAAAACGUUGCGCAAUGAGGUAUCAAAUUGAAAUAAAAAAGGAAUACGCGGCCUAAUUUUAAAACCAGUGGAAAGGAUUUAAUUGGAGUGCACUGCAAAAAGGAAGGGCUAAAUGCGUAAUUUCCCCAUUUGGCCAGAACGAGUGGAUCCUCCCCUCCGGGUCGGGUCACCGCGCGGGUCGCACCUGGCUAAAACGGCACCGUUUUUAAAUCAAUAUUUAAAACUGGUUUUCUAAAAAAACCCUAAUAGUUGCAGUUUUUAAAAAAAAAUACAAAAAUAAAAAAAUAAAAAGCAGAGAUGCUCUGCUAGGGUUCCCAACCCUUUGCCACCGCCGCUCCCGGCCUACGGUCGAAUCAAAUCCUGGCCCUCCAACUCCGAUUCCAACCAUAGCAAGCCUAGGACGUCGAUGACGACACCGCAGGUAAGAAACCCCUCUUUUAAACUACUUCUUUUGUAAAAAAAAAGAAAAAACAAAAUAAGCAUAAAAGAACCAAAAAAAAGAAUCGAAAUCACCUUUAGAUCUAAAAAACAAAUCUCUCGUAUUCUCACUGUAUUUUUUUUUCGAUUUUUCCCCUUUUUACAAAAGACCGACUGUUUUAUAGCCUAACACUAACCUAUUUUCCUUGUUUUUUGUUGUUUUACAUUAUUUGGACUCUUUGAGUCCGUUUUGCAAGUAUUUGAGGAGCGAACGGAGAGCGUGGGGAGGCCGAUCACCGAGUCUUGCGGUGAUUGGACGUUGGGCGCGACGUGGGGCUGAUGGGGCUUGCGGCGCUGGACAUGCGGCUAGGGUUUGGGUGUUUUGGGGUUUGGUUUAGUUGUUUAGGCUUAGGUUAGUUUUGGGCCUGUGAAGAGAACUGGGCUACGCCUAAUAAUUUAUUUGUGCAGGCCCGGGCUAAUUGAGUCUGCUACAGCUGCCCCUCUUUGCUCGUUGUCGUGUAACGGGAACAGAGUAAAGACUACAAGGCCCAAUUAUGCCCAGUCCCACUGAACCUCAACUUCUUCAAUGCUUCUCUUCUUUGGGUAGCAUCAUUCCCUCCUACUGCAUCUCCAGAGGUAUACGAAACAAUGAUUUGAUCCACUCCACUGCAAUGUUAGGGAGAUAGGAUUCAUACUUUGUAGUUUCUCAAAAGAACAAAAUUUGCUAUCUUUAACCUGCUCCACUGCGACUUCAGGGAGAUAAGAUCUGUGGCUUCAAUUUGUUCUGCUACAACUUAAAGAUAAGUCUGAUGCGAUCUGCUCUACUGCAACUUCAGAGAGAUGAGAUCUGCGGUUUUAAUCCACUCCAUUGCAACUUCAAGGAGAUAGGAUUGGUUACUUUUGUCUGUUCCACUGCAACUUCAGGGAGAUAAGACUUGUAUCUUUGAUCUACUCCACGCCAGUACAUGAAGACAAGAUCUGCUUUCUUCGAUCUACUCCACCACCAGUAUGGGGGGAUAGAAUUACUGGCUUCAAUAUACUCUACUGCAACUUCAGGGAGGUAAAAUCCGCCAUCUUCGAUCUGCUCCACUACUGCUUAGGAAGGCAAGAUCUGUAAUCUUCAAUCUACUUCGCCACCAGUAUGGGAAGAUAAGAUAUGUAUAUUCGAUCCACUUCACUACCGAUAUAGGAAGACAGGACCUACUAUCUUUGAUCUACUUCACGCCAGUACAUGAAGAUAAUAUCUAAUUUCUUCGAUCUACUCCACCACCAGUAUGGGGAGACAAGAUCUGUUUCUUUGAUCUUCUUCACGCCAGUACAUGAAGACAAGAUCUAUUUUCCUCGAUAUACUUCACCACCGGUAUGGGAAAACAAGAUUUGCUAUCUUUGAUCUACUCCACCACCAGUAUGGGGAGAUAGAAUUACUGGCUUCAAUAUACUCCACUGCAACUUCAGAGAGGUAAAAUCCGCCAUCUUCGAUCUGCUCCACUACUGCUUAGGAAGGCAAGAUCUGUAAUCUUCACUCUGCUUCGCCACCAGUAUGGGAAGAUAAAAUAUGUAUAUUUGAUCCACUUCGCUACCGAUAUAGGAAGACAGGACCUACUAUCUUUGAUCUACUUCAUGCCAGUACAUGAAGACAAGAUCUGUUUUCUUCGAUCUACUUCGCCACCAGUAUGGGAAGACAAGAUCUGCUAUCUUUGGUCUACUUCACGCCAGUACAUGAAGACAAGAUCCGUUUUUCUUCAAUCUGCUCCACCACGAGUAUGGGGAAGCAAGAUCUGUUUCUUUGAUCGACUUCACGCCAGUACAUGAAGACAAGAUCUGCUUUGCCACCAAUAUGGGAAGGCAAGAUCUGGUAUAUUGGAUCCACUUCGCUACCAAUAUAGGAAGACAGGAUCUGCUGCUUUUCAACCUGCUCCACUAUUGCUCAGGGAGAUAAGGCUUUAUGAUUUCGUCGAUCUGUUCUUUGAGGAACAUAACCUGUAUAAUUUACUUUAUGAACCUAAUCAUGCCUAGUGAUUAGGAUGUCAUGAUCAGAAUGAAUCAAAUACUCCUAACUAGGCAUGUACGAAUGACAUUUGAAUGCUAUGUCAUGAAAAAUGAAUAUUGAAUGUUUAACAUCAUUAUUGCUCAUUAAGGCUUCCUUUAUGGCAACAAUGCUUUGUCAAAACUUGCAAAUUUUAAUCUUAACUAUUGACUUCCUAGAUAUCUCCGACCUUUUAACCCGGUGAGGGUCUAAAUAAUAGUCCUGUUUCAGGUUCUUGAGCUGUUUAAAGAUUUCUAGAGUAAUAUGAAAAACUUCCCUUGUGAAAGUUUUACUAGUCCAUUAAUUGUCAUUCUAAUGCAACAUGCUUGCGAAAAGAUCACAACGAUGAAUAAAACAAAAUUAGUUUGGGAGUAUAGCUCGCAAUGGUUUGUCAAUGAUAGAGGAAUUGUCUGGGGACAUUUAUAUUGGAAAAGAAUGAAAUAUUUUCAAACAACGAAUUCAAUACAAAUACUAUGAAUAGGUGCCCCAGAUAUCUCUGCUUUGAAUUUCUCUAUACAACUUUUUGAAGACCCUUCUGAAUUCAACACGUGUUUAGAAGGUUCACAGUACUUUGUUGAUGCCCCAAGACGUCGUCUAUUCUUUUCUACCGAUUUAGGUACAGCAAGACCACCACGUGACAAUCAAAUUUAAGCCGCCCUUUUCAGGUUUUCAACUCAAAUCCCCUUUGGUCUUAAGGUGCCCUUUGCGGGAUUUCACCUUAGCCUCUCCUUUUUUUGGGGGAAUCAAAGCGCCCUUUGCGGGUUUUCGCCUUGGUUCCUUUCCCUCUUCAAGUAAAGUAUCUCUUGACCGAGUCUGAAUUUACUAGUUUGGGCAAGUUUCUUCCAUCCAUUUCAGCCAGGAUUAGGGCUCUUCCAGAAAAGGCCUUUUUUACAACAUAAGGACCUUCCCAAUUCGGCAUCCAUUUCCCCCUAAAAUCUUUUUGUAGAGGAAGAAUUUUUCUCAACACUAGGUCCCCCUCGUGAAAUUCUCUGGGUCGGACCUUCUUGUUGUAGGCUCACAUCAUUCUUUUCUGGUACAUCUGACCAUGCUGAAUAGCCUUUAGCCUUUUUCCCUCUAUCAAGUUCAACUGAUCAUAUCGAGAUUGAACCCAUUCUGCUUCAUCCAAUUUUAGCUCAGUCAAAACCCAGAGAGAAGAGAUUUCAACUUCGAUAGGCAAGACUGCCUCCAUGCCAUAAACUAAGGAGAAAGGAGUUGCCCCGGAGGAGGUCCUGAUUGACGUUUGAUAAGCAAGGAGGGCAAACGGUAAUUUCUCGUGCCAGUCCAUGUAAGUCUCAGUCAUCUUCCCCACAAUCUUUUUUAUAUUUUUAUUGGCCGCUUCCACUGCACCAUUCAUUUUUGGGCGAUAUGGCGAUGGAUUGUGAUGUCUGAUCUUGAAUUGACUGCAGACUUCUGCUAUUGAGUUGUUGUUCAAGUUCAGCGCGUUGUCGGAUAUGAUUCUUUCAGGCAUUCCAUAUCGACAUAUGAUCUCUCUCUUCAAGAACUUGCUGACUGAUGACUUUGUAACGUUAGCAUACGAAGCAGCCUCUACCCAUUUGGUAAAGUAGUCAAUAACCACAAAUAUGAAACGAUGCACAUUUGAAGCCUUCGGCGAUAUUGGCCCGAUGACAUCUAUACCCCACAUGGGGAAAGGCCAUGGAGAAGUCAUGACAUGAAGAUGCGAAUGAGGUGCAUGCAUUUUAUCACCAUAGAUUUGACAUUUAUGGAACUUUUUGGAGUAAUUGAUGCAAUCCCCUUCCAUGGUGGACCAAUAAUAACCGAACCUCAUAAUUUGUCUAGCUAUUGUGAACCCACUGGCAUGCGUUCCACAGAUGCCCUCAUGGACUUCUUCCAGAAUUUUCUUUGCUUCUACGGCAUCCACACAUCUUAAAAGUACAUGAUCUUUUCCCCUCAUGUAUAAGAUCUCCCCAUCUAAGACGUAAUCAAUGGCUAGCCUUCUUAGAGUUCUCUUUUCAUUCUCAGUUGCCUGGCCAGGAUACUUACGAUUUUUUACAUAUCGUAGAAUAUCUUGAUACCAAGGGCUAUCAUCGAUUUCUCCUUCUUCAACAUUGUAACAAUGAGCUGGGUCUUCAUGGAUACUUAUUUGUAUAGGCUUCAUAUCCUCAUGUCUGCUCACCCUGAUCAUGGAGGCUAAAGUAGCUAGUGCAUCAGCCAUCUGGUUCUCAUCUCGUGGGAGAUAGCAAAAAGUGAUAUCCUCAAACUCCUUAAUCAAUUCGAGGACCAACUUUCGAUAACUGACUAAUUUGGAAUCUCUCGUUUCCCAUUCACCCCUGAGUUGAUAUAUCACCAAUGCCGAAUCUCCAUAGACCUCUAACACUUUGAUUCUUCGCUCUAUAGCUGCACGAAUACCCAUGAUGCACGCUUCGUAUUCUGCCAUGUUGUUUGUACAAUCAAAAUCCAAUUUGCAAGUGAAAGGAUAAUGAUCACCAUUCGGGGAUACUAAGACUGCCCCAAUUCCAUUGCCCACAGUGUUCGAGGCUCCAUCAAAGUUUAGCUUCCAACUGUGACCUUUUUGGGGAUUUUCUUCAGUAGCGGCUACAUACAACAAGUCUUCAUUCGAAAAAUCAAAACUUAACGGUUCGUAAUCUUCCAAAGCCCUACUAGCUAGAAAGUCAGCAAUUGCACUCCCCUUCACAGCCUUUUGGCUCACAUAGACAAUAUCAAAUUCAGACAGUAAGAUCUGCCAUCGGGCUAUCCUUCCAUUCAAAGCAGUUGACUCCAUCAUAUACUUUAACGGGUCCAGCUUUGAAAUUAACCAGGUCGUGUGGUAUAACAUAUACUGCCUUAAUCUCUGAGUUGUCCAAAUCAAGGCACAACAUAAUUUCUCGAUAGGCGAAUAUCUCAUUUCACAGUCAGUGAAUUUCUUGCUGAGAUAAUAUAUCGCCAUUUCUUUUCUCCCUGUUUCAUCAUGCUGACCUAGCACACACCCCAUGGAAUUGUCAAAUACCGUUAGAUACAAUAUCAGAAGCCUAUCCGGGCUAGGUGGUGACAGUACUGGAGUAUUAGACAAAUACUGCUUCACCUUGUUAAAAGCUUCUUCGCAUUCCUCAUCCCAAGUACUAGGAUUAUGUUUCUUCAGAAGACGAAAUAUAGGGUCACAUUUCUCAGUCAGCUGUGAAAUGAACCUAGCGAUGUAAUUCAGCAUUCCGAGGAAUCCUCGAACUUCUUUCUGAGUGCAGGGUGAAGGUAAAUCCCGUAUUGCCUUAACUUUGUCUGGGUCAAACUCGAUUCCCUUCUCACUGACUAUGAAGCCUAGUAACUUUCCUGACCUGGCCCCGAAAGUGCACUUCGCUGGAUUAAGCUUGAGCUGGAACUUCCUUAGUCUUAAGAAUAAUUUUCUCAAGACCCGCACAUGUUCGCCCUCCGUUCUAGAUUUCGCGAUCAUAUCAUCAAAGUAAACAUCGAUUUCCCUGUGCAUCAUGUCAUGGAACAAGGCUACCAUGGCUCUUUGGUAUGUCGCUCCUACAUUCUUCAAUCCAAACGGCAUCACUUUAUAACAAAACGUCCCCCAUAACGUAAUGAACGUAGUCUUUCUCAUGUCUUCAGGGUGCAUCUUUAUCUGAUUAUACCCAGAAAAACCGUCCAUGAAGGAAAACAAUGAAAAGCCUGCAGUAUUAUCUACCAAUGUGUCAAUUUGGGCAAUGGGAAAUUGUCCUUUGGACUAGCCUUGUUCAGAUCCCUGUAAUCCACACACAUUCGUACUUUCCCAUCUUUCUUCGGAACUGGUACGAUGUUGGCCACCCACUCAGAAUACUUGACUUCUUGCAGAAAUUCGAAAUCAAGCUGCUUCUGGACCUCUUCUUUUAUCUUCAACACGAUAUCAGGUCUCAUCCUUCCGAGCUUUUGCUGCACUGGCUUGCAAUCUUCUUUGAUGGGAAGGCGAUGGACUACAAUGUCAGUACUUAACCCAGGCAUAUCUUGGUACAACCAUGCAAAGACAUCCUUGAAUUCCUGGAGUAGUCUGAUGAGGUCUUGUCUCGUCUUUGCAGAGAUAUCAGAUCCGAUCUUCACCUCUUUUCCUUCCUCUAAGCUCACAAUUUCUAUUGAUUCCCCAUGAGGUAGGAUUUGCUUCUCAGCCCUUUCUACCAUCUUCAACAAGUCAGGAGACAAACCACAGUCUUCGUCAUCCUCAAAAUCAUGCGAUCCCUCUAAACACGUGUUUCGUUCAAAAUGAGACUCUAAAUUCGUAAGAGUAACAUUCGUAUCAUUGAUAUCAUAGGACCUGUUAUAAAAACAAUAUGGAUUUAAGAAUUUGUUUGGUGCAAUAUGGUCAUGAAUGAAAUGCAAGUGUAGUUUGAGAGAAAUUCAAAAUAACUGCUCUUGUGGAAAGAAAUAUUUGCUCAAAAAAUGACUGCAAACAUGAACUUUAUUAAAAUAACGAUUUUUUUGGACAUGAGCCUAUUUCACAAAGGAAUCCUUAUCACUUCUAGGCUAAAAAGUAAUAAGGGUGUUCUGGACAUUACUCUGAGGAAAUCCUAAAAACUACAGGUAUUUCUUCUGCAGUCUAGUCGUUUAGUUCCCUUCCCGACUCGUAAGGACGAAUAUCUGGCAAAGUUUUUCCUCCCGUCGCUUCUUCAUACACGGCGUGAAUACUCUCUAACUCCGUGUUAAUACUUCUGACCCCUAGCAUUCUUUGAUAGACGAAUCCUCCUGAUACAAAAGUCUUGGAUAGGUAAGGAAAGGUCAUGGGUUCCCAUUUGACUUCAUCACCUGUCAAACGAGCCCUUCUUCUCUCUCGCUUCUUUUCCUGCUCUAUCCUCCUCUGCCUAGCAUCUGGCUUGUAUCCUAAGCCAAAACGGUCCUGCUUGUCUUUCAACCCUGCAAUCUCAACUCGGCCCUGAAGAUAUUUCCCCAAUCCUUUUCUCAGCAAAGCUCCCUUCCCAACUGUCAAUUGCAAACCCACUUUUGUGGUCUUUGAUAUUCUUGGCAUCGGGAUCUUGUUUCCCUCACGGAUGAAUGUUGCAUUUACGAACUCCAAGGAACGGAAAGAGCACUCGAUUGCAUCAUCACUUGUUUCCAAAUAAGGCGCAUCGUUGGUCAUAGAUGCAAUGAUAUCUUCUUCAGCAUUUAUCGUCACUACCUGGCCUUCUGACACCAGCUUCAAUUUUUGAUGUAACGAUGACGGUACCGCCCCUGCUGAAUGAAUCCAUGGCCUUCCUAAUAGGCAACUGUAAGAAGGCUUGAUGUCCAUAACCAAGAAGUCUACCUCAUAGAUAGUUGGGCCAAUUAACAAGGGUAAGUCAAUUCUUCCCAUGACCUUCCUCUCGGUGCCAUCAAACGCUCUCACCAUAUUCUGGCACGACUGCAUAUGUGAACUAUCCAUAGGUAGCCUGUUGAGCGUGGAUAGAGGAAAUACGUUCAGUGCCGACCCGUUGUCUACCAGAACUCCCGGUAAUAUGUACCAUUUACACCUUGCAGUGAUGUGUAAAGCUCUAGUAGAUCCCAUACCCCCAGGUGGUAUUUCAUCAUCGCUAAAUGAGAUGAAAUUAUCAGAUCUUAUAUUACCGACCAGUCGAUCCAACUUGUUAACAAAGAUAUUGUCGGCCACAUAAGUUUCAUUUAGCACCUUCAGUAGUGCAUUUCGAUGUCCCUCCGAGUUCAGGAGUAAAGCUAGCACAGAUAUGCGAGCUGGUUGUUUGUGCAGCUGUUCCACAAUGCUGUACUCGCUAUGCUUUAUGAACUUCAAGAACUCUCUAGCUUCCUCCUCCUUGAUUGGUUCAUUGACCAACAAUUCAGGUUCGACUGCCUUCUUCUUCUUUCCAACCGAAGUUUCUUCUUUUACUGGCUCUACUCGAUCUUUCAUCUGUUUGCAGUGCCUUCCUUUAUCCUGAUCCUCUUUACUGACCAUAUCCUCCUUCCCUGGGAUUGUCACAUUACAAUCGUAAUUCCAAGGAACCAUCAUGUUAUCCUUAUAUGCAAACACAUCCGGUUUUUGAAUGAUUACUUUUGGUGUUAUUAGUGCCCCAACCUCACUGUUCUGAGGUCGUGAGAUGAUGACCACAGGACGGUUAGCCUUCGGGACUCCCAAUGCCAACUCUGAUGCGCAUACAUAACUCUUCUCUUGAACUCCUUCACAGAAUUCCACCUCCCUAUUAUCCAUCAUAUCUUGUACCAUGGCUCUGAACUCCGUACACUCUUGGAUUUCAUGCCCCACUUCAUGGUAGAACUCACAGUAGUUCCCCCUCUUUUCACAACUUCCUUCUGAGACGAUUAGUCCCCUUUUCACCAUCUCCUUCCAGACCCAUCUCAGAGGAGUUUUCACAUCCACAAUGUCUGCCUUGAUCCUUCUGUCUUCGCCCGCCAUAUUUACCCCACCAUCUGUGUAGUUUGGUAAUGGGUUUUCUGCCUUGGUUGAGUCAUCAAAUUUAACGACACCCAUACCAAUGAGCCUUUCAACCAACUUCUUAAAGGUCGUACAGUUUUCUAUGGAAUGCCCUGUUAUUCCCGCAUGAUAGUCGCACUGUGCAUUCGCAUCGUACCAUUUGGGAUACGGGGGUUGCAAGGGCUUCAGAUAGAAAGGGGAAACUAUGUGUGCGUCAAAUAAAUUUCGGUAUAGCUCCCUGUAUGACAUAGGAAUUGGCAUGAAUUGAGGCCUCUCAACAUUUCACCUUGUGCCGACCUCCUGUCUCGACGAGCUUUGCUGACUGGCAGCCACCUUUCCUGGCUGACUCACUAUUACUGACUUCGAGUAACCCUUGUUGUACAUGUUCGUGUUGAUCACCUCACUCUCCUUCCUCUUCGAGGCUGAUCUUCUAUUACUCUCUCCCGCAUCAAUCUUCCCACUCCUGAUGGCAUUCUCAAUCAUCUCGCCAUUCAUGACUAUGUCAGGAAAGCUUUUUGUGGCACUUCCUAGCAUAUGUGUAAUGAACGGUGCCUUCAGGGUGUUAAUGAACAACAUAGUCAUUUCUUUUUCCAGGAGCGGUGGCUGAACCUGGACCGCAACCUCCCUCCAUCUCUGAGCGUACUGCCUGAAGCUUUCACUUGGCUUUUUCUCCAUGUUUUGAAGGGUGAUUCUAUCAGGAGCCAUGUCUGUCACAUGACUAUAUUGUUUCAUGAAUGCUUGCGCCAAGUCCCUUCAUGAACCAAUCGUGGCACGACUCAACUGAUUGUACCACUUGGAUGCUACCCCUGCAAGGCUGUCUUGGAAGUAAUGUAUUAAUAGCUGGUCAUUAUUAACGUAUCCAGCCAUUCGCCUGCAGAACAUGGUGAUAUGAGCCUCUGGGCAAAUCGUCCCAUUGUACUUCUCGAAUUCAGACAUCUUAAACUUAUGAGGGAGUACUAGAUUUGGCACUAAACUCAGCUUUUUUGCGUCAAUGCCUCGAUAACUUUCAGUGACUUCCAUCGCCUUGAACUUCUCUUCGAGCCACCUGUAUCUUUCCUCUAACUGUCUCAGUAACUCCUCCUUCACUCUUUCCUUCUCAACCACUUCAUCAAAGUCAGGAAUGACAGAGUUAAUAGGAUUAUUUUCAGGAUUAGAACCUGGCCCAGUUUGGAGGUUCGAAAUACCAGCCCGAAACUGUUGAGGCAUGAUAGUGACAGUAGAUUUGAGCGGAUACUCAGCUUGGGCUCACAUAUGUGGAGGAGUGAAACCUAGAGGGUAAAAAAUUUCAUCAUCAUUUCCCACAUCAACAUUUGCCAUGGGGCCCUUUCCUUUAUCACUUCCCUUAGUUAUCAGUUGGGUUAACUUUGCCACUAUAUCUUCUUGGGAUUCUCGCAUCUUCUCAGACAUCUCUUGUUUCAUCUUGUCUAACCGCUCCUGCAUUUGUAGCUGAAGCCGAUCUUGCAUCUCCUUCUGGUACUGUUCAAGCUUCUCUAAUCUCUGAUCCAUAUCUUUUGUCUUUGCUCGAGUGCCGUAUCGGUGUUGGGUUGGUUGGUUUCCAGGUUAACUGAGUAAUGAUUUUAACUUAUUAGGAUUUAAUAAAGGUCUUUAAUGCAUAUGAUGCGAUGCAUGAGGUGAAUGCAAAAAAAAGCGUUAAUUAUAAUUCAAUUCCACUCAGAAAACUUUACUAGAGAAAAAAUUUCUUUACAUAAAAUGGCUAUAAAUAAGGCCUUGCCCUAAUACUUAGAAUUUUAACCUCCCUAAGUAAUGAUGCCAACUUUUGCCCCUAAUCUGAUUCCGAUUCGUAUUUCACACUUAGUAUAUCAGCCUGUAUUGCCAAAGUCUGCAGGUGCUCAGCUACCCCUUGAAUCUGAACCACAGCUUCUCCCAUAAUGUGAUCCCUUCUUACAACUUGAUCCUGGAGAUAGUGAAGCUGUUCACUUUGAUGAUCUUCGUUUGCUUCCAGAUGCUCAAUCCUGGCUUCAUAGUUCUGCGAUGCUAUCUCUAAUUCCUCUAUAGUUUUCUUCAUUUGCUCGAUCCUGCUUAAACUUGCUUGCAGUUCUGCCACUGAAUUUUGAUUUCGGUAUUGAUAAACAAUCUUCUCAAGUUCGGCCACUCUAGCCUUUAGUUUAUCUAUUUCAUUCUAGCUUUCUGACAAACUCCUCUCAAAUGACUUAUUUUGCUUUUGAGCCUCCUGAAAUCUCUUUUCCCACCUAUCAGCCUUGGCCUUUUCUUCUUGAACCUCUUGACGCCAUUGCUCCGAGGUUUUUCCCAAACCAGCAGUUCUCACUGACAAAUGUAAUCUCUUAUAAUCUGUCUUCAAGCUGUUCAGGUCUUCCUCGACUUUGCGCUUCCCUUUUCUCAGGCAUUCGGUUUCCAGUUUUUGAACAUCUAUGUCCAGCCUUAAAUUCAUCUUCUCCUCUUCCAUUUGCUCUAUCUUCUUCUCAAGCUCAGAAUUUCUUCUUUCAAAAUCCUGCUUUAUAAUUUCUAGCUCAGAAAGGGCCAUAUGUACAUGCUUUUCCACAAAUUGACUGUCUCCUUGACCUGGUACAGGUAUGUUAUCAUUGAUCCUUCUAUUAAGCCACUCGAUAUAUUCAGGCAUCGUUGAUGGACUUACUGCCAACCUUUUCAAUCGGCGAGUCUGCCUCUAAGCAUUAGUCAUUUCUCAUAUCUUCUUCUUGUAACCAUCACACUUAUACGAGAAUUCACACUGAGCUAAUCCAUGGGUUGUUGGUAUGAACUGCCUUGACCUAUACUGUCUCAGUACCAAUAACGGUGCAUAGCCAAUAGCCCUCCAAAUCCCAAGUAAAUGGACCCAGUCAAAAUCUCCACACCUAUAUAAGAUCUCAUCUGAUAGCAUCCAAUGAGCUCUCCAUUCAAUAUCCCCCUCUUGAAGAUUCUGAAGAUUUGCCAUCCAUUUUUCCUCUGAGAUAUCAUCCUGCCUCGGUAAUGCCACUAUUUCCUUCAAGGGCGAAUAAUUUUCAGAAAAAACCCGAUAAGAAACCUUAUCCACCUUCCAAAAGUGACUGUAAAACCAUGCUAAAAGGAGCUGCAUGCAUCCAAUGAAUCUACCCUCACCAACUCUUCGACAUUCAUUCAGAGAUCUGAAGGUUUCUGCCAGAAUAGCUGGAACCGGUGUAAUCCCCUUGUCAAGACGGUCAAAAAGGUCAGUGACUGCUUCAUCAAUAUGUCCCAAAGCUUUAGGGAAGACAACUAAACCAUAAAUACCCAAGGCAAAGACAUCAACCUUUUUCCUCGUAUCCAGGUGUGCUAGAAUUAAAUCUUUCAGGUUCUUCCAAGGAAUGCACUUACUAUCUUCCUUUUGCUUGAUUCGUGCUGCGACCCAUUGCUCACUCAUCCCCGUAAUAUUCGUCAACUUCUUCAAAAAAGUUGAAACAUUAGCAGCUCUUGAAUAGGCUUUGUCCACUUGAAUUUUUGAACAACGUAGUAAUGCCGUAUAUUCCUCCACCGUAGGCACUAAAUCAACUUUUUCAAAGGUAAAGAAACUAUAGGCAGGAUUCCAAAAUUGGGCCAAAGCACGAAACAAGUGCUUAUCCACCUUUAAGUCAAGCAAGUAAGGUAAGUCACCAUAGCUAGAAUAGAAGAGCUGCUUAAUCUCAUCAUUCCACCGGUCCCUGAUUUCCUUUAGUUCCUGUAGGUUAUUCUGAGUCACGCUAACACGAGUGAAGUCCCACAACUCUGACAAAUAUCCUUCGGCCAAACUAUCACCUUUCUCCUGCUGUGUUGUCUCAGACCAAGUUUGGACAGCCGCAUUAUCUUCCACCUUAUCAAGAAACCCUUUUUCCGUGAUAAGCUUUCUAUCUAGCAACCGAAUAUGAACUAACGCCCUUUUAGGAUGAAAUGUUAUGCAAUCAUGAUGUCAUGCAAUCAAAACAAAAGAAACCCAAGUCAGUAUCACAUAUAAAGAUAUAAACAAACAUAAAAUAGCAAGAAACACUUAAACAGGAAUCCCCUAGGGUUUUGGGAUAGUUCUACCUAGGUCAAGUUCCUAAAGCUCACUAUAUGAGGUUUAGUUUCUAGAGUAAGGGUACCCGAACCAGUAGACUCCUCGAUCCUCACCCAUUAUAAGCUCAUGUGGAUCGAGUUCGGUUCAGGGGGACACAUUUCCCUAUGGCUGCACGGAGAUGAAAAUCUCACGAAGACAUAGGUACGGAUGUAUCUCGGAAGCGGUCCACUACCCUGCACGGAGGUGAAAACCUCACGAAGGACUAGUUUCUCGCUCCCACUUAAAGGGUAAAAUGCAAAAUGCAAAUGCAAAGUUGCCAACAUACCAAGAUGAAAAAAACGAUGAAUGCGAAGGGAACUCAUGAAUUUUUUAAAACUUUUGAUUUUCGACACAAAGACAAAUAUAAUCAGUUUAUGGCUCGACUCUCUAACGUCCCCAGUGGAGUCGCCAAGCUGUCGAAACACCUUUUGAAAACAAAAAUUUAGUUGUCGACUUUUUAAAAAUAAAACUGGAGUCACCACCGAUCCUUUAUUAAGGUGUGACCGGCACACCUUAAAAAUUAUUUUGGUCUGCGAAUUUUGAAAACAGGUUCGGGAGUCAGUUACUCACGAGGAAGGGUUAGCACCCUCGUAACGCCCAAAAAUCAGUACCAAAUUGACUAUUUAAUGUCCUAGUGUCGAAAGUUAAAAAAGAUUUUAAAAUAGGCUUGAAUGAUGAAAUUUGCAAAAGGAUAAUCAAUUGUUCAAGUCAUGUAAAGAAAUCGAGUCCCAAUACGUUAGGGUACAAUUCCUCAUAAUCCCCAAACUUGAAUAUCACUUUUAUUUUAUACGAAAAAUCUUCAUUUCGAAAAAGUAACAUGCCACACCCAAUACGUUAGGGCACAACAAGUUGAGUUCCCAAAAAUGAUUUUAUGCAUUUUGAAUAAAAAAUAUUCUCGGUCAUUUAGGAUUGACAAAGAAAAUCAGAACCCAAUACGUUAGGGCUCAAUUUCCCUCGAGAAUCCCAAACUUCCAAUAAUGCUUUUAUUCAAAAAAAAAACCUUUAAAUCAAGAAAAUAACUUUGAUGAAUGGUUAAAACCAAAAUACAUUUUCAAAAAGGGUAUGUUAAAGAGUUAAUAUACAAUAUGAUACAGAUACUAUAAUUUAAAGCAUAUAUACAUAAAUAUUUACAAAUAUAUAUACAAGUACAAUAUACAAGUAAACUUGCAAUCAUAUCUAACACACGUUUACAAGUAUACAUGUAAAAAGAAGGGAUGGAAUAUAUCAGAUAGACCAAUAAAAAUACACGUAUUGAGAAUAAAAUAAAAGCAUAAAAACAUGCACAUGUAUAUAUUUACAGAAUAAAAGAAAUAUAUAUAAACAUAUUAUAAUAUAAAACAUAUAAAAGUUAAAAGAGAUAAAAUAAUAAGGAAAAAAACGAAACAAAUGUAAAAUACAUGUAUUUAUAUAAGUUUUAAGAAUAUAUAAUAAUAGAAAGUGUAAAAUAAUAAAAAUAACUAUAAUAAUUUUUGAAAAAAUAAGUAGGUAAAUAUAUUAAAAAUGUGCUCAUGUUAUAAAACAUAUAUGUAUAUAUAAAGCAAAAAAAAGUAUAUAUAAAAAAUAGGAAAGUAAAAUAAAAAAUGUAGGUAUAAUAAUAAUAUACAAUAUUAUAGUAAUAAAUAAAAUAAAACAAAAUAAUAAUUUGGCGUAAUUGUGAUAAAAACUAAAAAAUGGGUUUAAUUGAAUUUAAAACGAAAAAAAAUGGGGGCAAAUUCAAAAAUAAUAAAAAAGGAUCAAUUCGAACACGCUAGCGCAAAUGGGGGACUAAAAAGGAGAUAAUUCCUUCCUUUCCAAAACGCUGCGCAAUGAGGUAUCAAAUUGAAAUAAAAAUGGAAUACGCGACCUAAUUUUAAAACCAGUGGAAAGGAUUUAAUUGGAGUGCACUGCAAAAAGGAAGGGCUAAAUGCGCAAUUUCCCCAUUUGGCCAGAACGCGUGGAUCCUCCCCUCCGGGUCGGGUCACCGCGCGGGUCGCACCUGGCUAAAACGGCGCCGUUUUUAAAUCAAUAUUUAAAACUGGUUUUCUAAACAAACCCUAAUAGUUGCAGUUUUUUUUUAAAAAAAAUACAAAAAUAAAAAAUAAAAAGCAGAGAUGCUCUGCUAGGGUUCCCAACCCUUAGCCACCGUCGCUCCCGGCCUACGGCCGAAUCAAAUCCUGGCCCUCCAACUCCAAUUCCAACCGUAGCAAGCCUAGGACGUCGAUGACGACACCGCAGGUAAGAAACCCCUCUUUUAAACUACUUCUUUUGUAAAAAAAAGAAAAAACAAAAAGCAUAAAAGAACAAAAAAAAAAAAGAAUCGAAAUCACCUUUAGAUCUAAAAAACAAAUCUCUCGUAUUCUCACUGUAUUUUUUUUCGAUUUUUCCCCUUUUUACAAAAGACCGACUGUUUUAUAGCCUAACACUAACCUAUUUUCCUUGUUUUUUUGUUGUUUUACAUUAUUUGGACUCUUUGAGUCCAUUUUGCAAGUAUUUGAGGAGCGAACGGUGUGCGUGGGGAGGCCGAUCUCCGAGUCUUGCGGCGACUGGACGUUGGGCGCGACGUGGGGCUGAUGGGGCUUGCGGCGCUGGACAUGCGGCUGAGGUUUGGGUGUUUUGGGGUUUGGUUUAGUUGUUUGGGCUUAGGUUAGUUUUGGGCCUGUGAAGAGAACUGGGCUACGCCCAAUAAUUUAUUUGUGAGGGCCCGGGCUAAUUGGGUCUGCUACAUAUUUGAUUAAAAAUAAAAAAAAUAUAUUUAAUAUAUAAUUCGGGCUGGGCUCGGGCCAAAAAAGUUUUAUCCAAGCCCGGCCCGUUUUCUAAACCGGUCUUAUUUUUUUUGCCCAAACCCAUAUUUCGGGUCUAUAUUUUUACCCGAACCCUCCCAUUUUUCGGGCAGGCCGUUGGGUCGGGCCAGGUAUCCCAACCCAUGAUCACCUCUACUUGUGAGUUGCCACACCAGCAUUGUUAAAAAAUUAAUGUUUUAGUUAGCAUUUCGGUUAAAAAAACAAUUUGACUCUUUUUGAAAAGUUAAUUGUCAAACUUAACUAAAAAUAUAUAUAAGAGCCAAAUUGACAGAAGUUAUAAACAUUGAUGAAUAAGUUGAUCAUUAUUAUUGUUAUUAUUAUUUUGCCAUUAUAAGAUAGAGGAGAAAUUUUAGUAUGGAUCCCUCCACUAUGUUGAUGUUUAGAAUUUAAUCUUCGUAUUUUAAUUUGACGUCUUCUACUUUAUCAAUAACUUUAGUUGGUCCAAAUAGUUAACAUCCUUAACUAUCCGAUUAAAAUGUUGUCAUGAAUUUUUCUUCACCUUUCUAACACACACACAAAAAACAAAAAAAAAACAAAAAUCUAUUUUAGUAUGAUAAAUACACCUUUUUAACAAAUGUAAAAAAAAAAAUUCUAUUUCGGUAUGAUAAGUUUGGAAUGGUAUUUUUAACUGAAAUCAUUAAGAGUGUUAACUAUUUGGACUAACUAAAAGUUAAAGAAUCAGAUCAUGUUAAAUUAAAAUAUAGAUACUAAAUCCUAAAUUUAAACAUAAUAGAAGGACUAUAAUUAUAUUUUGACAUAAAACAAUCUAUACCUAAGAGAAUCAUCUGUCGUUUUCUUUAAUAAAAAUUUUAAAUUUUAAAAUUAUUUUUAAUUAAAAUUUUUAAAUAGUAAAUAAAUAAUUCCUAUCAUAAUUAUUUUAAUAAAUAUAUACUACAAAUUUUCUAUAAACCUCUAAAUAAUUAUAAUAUAAUUAAAAUUAUAUUUAAAAGUUUGAAGCCCAGCGAAAGUGGGCAAAGCAUUCUAGUGUGGAUAUUAAUUUGAUGGAAUUUUCUUGAGAGAAUGAGAACUUUUGGACACCAAAUUCAGAUACGCAACAUGAUAGAGAUUAAUACAUAUUGAAAUAAUUUUUGAUACAACAUUAUCAAUAAUAAUAUAAUAUAUUAUCAUUAAAUAAUAGUAAUAAUUUU
RNAcentral lists this long non-coding RNA (17021 nucleotides) under Gossypium barbadense (sea-island cotton). RNAcentral's name for it is "long non-coding RNA (GBAR_LNC018390)". Lineage: Eukaryota; Viridiplantae; Streptophyta; Magnoliopsida; Malvales; Malvaceae. The record is from RNAcentral.